RNAcentral lists this ribosomal RNA (462 nucleotides) under uncultured bacterium. RNAcentral describes it as "partial 16S ribosomal RNA". It matches the Rfam family "Bacterial small subunit ribosomal RNA", at positions 28 to 507 of the family's 1533-position model. The record is from RNAcentral.
GACGAACGCUGGCGGCGUGCUUAACACAUGCAAGUCGUACGGUAAGGCCUUUCGGGGUACCCGAGUGGCGAACGGGUGAGUAACACGUGGGUGAUCUGCCCUGCACUUCGGGAUAAGCCCGGGAAACUGGGUCUAAUACCGGAUAGGACUGCGCGGUGCAUGCCGUGUGGUGGAAAGAUUUAUCGGUGCAGGAUGGGCCCGCGGCCUAUCAGCUUGUUGGUGGGGUAAUGGCCUACCAAGGCGACGACGGGUAGCCGGCCUGAGAGGGCGACCGGCCACACUGGGACUGAGACACGGCCCAGACUCCUACGGGAGGCAGCAGUGGGGAAUAUUGCACAAUGGGCGCAAGCCUGAUGCAGCGACGCCGCGUGAGGGAUGACGGCCUUCGGGUUGUAAACCUCUUUCAGCAGGGACGAAGCGUGAGUGACGGUACCUGCAGAAGAAGCACCGGCCAACUACGUG